This 172-nucleotide small RNA is filed under the name Calidris pugnax (ruff). RNAcentral describes it as "TUC338 (ENSCPUG00000011928.1)". Lineage: Eukaryota; Metazoa; Chordata; Aves; Charadriiformes; Scolopacidae. The record is from RNAcentral.
CUGACAGCCCUGCUGGCUAAAAUCUGCUGUUUAUCCACAAGAGCGGGAACGGUUUGUGCCGCCGAAGCUUUCUUAUUCUCAUCACCUACAUGCUGCUAGUCUGCUUUGAAGAAGCACCUCUAGGGGUGAAAGCAUACUUCUGUCUCUAAGCUAAAUUCAAUCCCUGAUCUCU